RNAcentral lists this ribosomal RNA (429 nucleotides) under Bacillota bacterium. Its description in RNAcentral is "Firmicutes bacterium partial 16S ribosomal RNA". It matches the Rfam family "Bacterial small subunit ribosomal RNA", at positions 355 to 776 of the family's 1533-position model. Lineage: Bacteria; Bacillati; Bacillota. The record is from RNAcentral.
UGGGGAAUUUUUGACAAUGGGCGAAAGCCUGAUCCAGCAAUGCCGCGUGUGUGAAGAAGGCCUUCGGGUUGUAAAGCACUUUUGUCCGGAAAGAAAUGGCUCUGGUUAAUACCUGGGGUCGAUGACGGUACCGGAAGAAUAAGGACCGGCUAACUACGUGCCAGCAGCCGCGGUAAUACGUAGGGUCCAAGCGUUAAUCGGAAUUACUGGGCGUAAAGCGUGCGCAGGCGGUUGUGCAAGACCGAUGUGAAAUCCCCGGGCUUAACUUGGGAAUUGCAUUGGUGACUGCACGGCUAGAGUGUGUCAGAGGGGGGUAGAAUUCCACGUGUAGCAGUGAAAUGCGUAGAGAUGGGGGGGAAUACCGAUGGCGAAGGCAGCCCCCUGGGAUAACACUGACGCUCAUGCACGAAAGCGUGGGGAGCAAACAGG